CCUACGGGAGGCAGCAGUGAGGAAUAUUGGUCAAUGUGCGAGAGCCUGAACCAGCCAAGUCGCGUGAAGGAUGAAGGAUCUAUGGGUUGGAAACUUCUUUUAUAUGGGAAUAAAGUGAGGAACGUGGUCCUUUUUGUAUGUACCAUAUGAAUAGGAAUCGGCUAACUCCGGGCCAGCAGCCGCGGUAAUACGGAGGAUGCGAGCGUUAGCCGGAUUUAUUGGGUUUAAAGGGUGCGUAGGUGGUUAAUUAAGACAGCGGUGAAAGUUUGUGGCUCAACCAUAAAAUUGCCGUUUAAACAGGUUGACUUGAGUAUUUUGUAGGGACGCGGAAUGCGUGGUGUAGCGGUGA
Molecule: ribosomal RNA, 349 nt
Filed under: uncultured bacterium
Lineage: Bacteria
Description: partial 16S ribosomal RNA
Rfam family: Bacterial small subunit ribosomal RNA
Source: RNAcentral